GGGCCUGAGUGGAAAUCAGUGCCCUAUGACAGCUGAAGAGACAACACACUGUCCAGCAUCAACCACAAACCCCAGGCAACUUCUCUAGACUGCCAAAAACACAUAAUGGACACAGAAAAAGACACACCAUUUGCGGAGAAGACUCAUCAGGAAGCAAGUUCUUAAAACCUUCACAAUUGGUAGAGCUGGUGGGCCGGGCACCACAGCGUCAGGGUGACUAUCAUUUUCUUCUUUGGUUCUGAGCACUCAUUGUGACAUCAUUCCAAGUUCCAUGCUUCUCUGUGACUUCACCAGGAGAUACAGAGCUUGUCUGACUGCCCAUCUUCAUGCGCGGACAUACUGAUCUAAGGCUUAAAUGAUUAACACCUUGAAUGGGCAUGGAUCGCUUUCUCACCCUGUGAACACCAUUCAUUUCAGAAGCUCUGCUUCUGCUGCAACUAGACAUGUCACUCAGCGUCUUGAGUAGGAAAGAGAAAGAGAAGGUCAUCCGUAGACUCUUAGUCCAGGCUCCUCCUGGGGAAUUUGUGAAUGCCUUUGAUGAUCUCUGUCUGCUUAUCCGCGAUGAGAAGCUCAUGCACCAUCAGGGUGAGUGUGCCGGCCAUCAGCACUGCCAGAAAUACUGUGUUCCACUCUGCAUCGAUGGCAACCCAGUCCUCCUGUCUCACCACAAUGUGAUGGGUGACUUCCGGUUCUUUGACUAUCAGAGCAAACUUUCUUUCAGGUUUGACCUGCUCCAGAAUCAGCUGAGAGACAUCCAAAGCCAUGGAAUCAUUCGGAAUGAGACUGAGUACCUGAGAUCUGUUGUUCUGUGCGCCUUAAAACUCUACGUGAAUGAUCACUACCCAAGUGGAAAUUGCAAUGUGCUGAGAAAAACAGUCAAAAAUAAAGAAUUCUUAAUCGCUUGCAUAGAAGACCACAGCUACGACAAUGGAGACUGUUGGAAUGGUCUUUGGAAGUCUAAGUGGAUCUUCCAGGUAAACCCAUUUCUAACCCAAGUAACAGGAAGAAUUUUUGUGCAAGCUCACUUCUUCAGGUGUGUCAAUCUUCAUAUUGAAAUCUCCAAGGACCUGAAGGAAAGCUUGGAGGUGGUCAAUCAAGCCCAGUUGGCUCUCAGUUUUGCAAGGCUUGUGGAAGAACAAGAGAAUAAGUUUCAAGCUGCUGUCUUAGAAGAGUUACAGGAGCUGUCCAAUGAAGCCCUGAGAAAAAUUCUACGGAGGGACCUUCCAGUGACCCGCACCUUGAUUGACUGGCAGAGGAUCCUCUCUGACUUGAAUCUGGUGAGAAGAAAGUAAAUGAACUGUGAGGACAGGGAAGGAAAUGAUUAAGUUAAUAGCCAAAAGAAGAGAAGCAAGGAGCCAACCCCAAACGAAGAUCCUGAGAGCACAGCAAGGGAAAUAGAGUGGCAGGUCUGCAGAAGUAGGGCUGAAGCUGAGGGCAAGGUGAGGUCACCCGGGGCUUUGACAAAGUGCCGCUAACACAUCUGACACUGAAGUCUUCGAGCUGAAAGCUAAGGAGUUGCCCUACCACUGUUCCUGCUGGAAGUGAAUUUGACUUCGUGUACUGGCAUCGGUCCAGGCCAUUGAUUAGAAGAUACUGAAAGAAAGCAGACCUGUAAGGAGUUGGAAUUCUAACAGGUCAAAAUCCAGGAACAUCAGGGUCAACUUGUUCAACCAGUGGAAAAAUAUACCAUGUACCGUAACUGUGCAAAGGCAAACUAUGUUGCUAAACCAUCAGCUAAAUGGAGUGGCAAGGUUUAAGUUUUCAUCCAGUUCUCCAUGGAGUGAGAUGCUCUGUCUCUGUCUGGAGUUUGGGUCACAUCCCAUCACCUGCUCUAAAACAUUUCUACGAACCCAUCAAUAGAAACCUGGGUGCUGCUGAAGACACUCUGGAAUGGUUUGUGUUGAGAUGCCCAGCCCCCACCUCCUUAGAGGCCUGUACUGAAGCUUUGGUUCCCAAUACAGCAGUAACAGAG
This is an RNA transcript of Peromyscus maniculatus bairdii (prairie deer mouse), 1972 nucleotides long. It is a transcript of the gene named capping actin protein of muscle Z-line subunit alpha 3, with no coding region annotated. NCBI's taxonomy places the organism in Eukaryota, Metazoa, Chordata, Mammalia, Rodentia, Cricetidae. The record is from RefSeq and is a predicted model, not a curated record.